GAUGAGGGAAGUUACCUUUUCCAGGAGCUCAGUGCAACCUGUAGAUCUAUGCCAAAGUCAAAGAACUACCAUUCGGUGCCAUCUCUCUUAUACUCCUCCUGCUUAGAAUGAACAUGUGGUGACUGAAGAACUGCUGCAGUUCUCGUUGGUGAAGUUGAUACACAUCUGCUUGAAGCUGUUGAACUGCAGAGAAGAACAGGCUGGUUGUGUAAGGCAUUUGCUGACCUGCCUUUGAGAUGUGUCCCUCAGCUCUAAACAGAAAAACUCAGCUGCUGGUGGCAGGAAAUAAACUGCAGGGAAAUCCCACCUGGCUGAGGAUCCCUCAGGCUGCUCUACAGCCCUCUUCUCUCAAGGAUCUCCAUGCUUUCUGCAAAUACCAUGAUUGUUCCUCCCACUGAUAUUUAUUUUGGUUUCCAGACCACCUGCGAGCCCCCAGAGCAGUGUGUGAGGGUAAAUUCACAGCAGCCACAGAUCAGUAUCACCCUCUGUUUUAUGAAUGGAGAAAAAAAAAAUGCAGGGAGUUCAUCUGAAGCAUUGACAAGGCAGAGUGAAACAGAGAACUCAGAUGUCCAGGCACUUUGCCAUCUGCUUUAAACAAAUGAGAGACAGGCAAAGAAAAGGGGCUUGGACAUGAGCUGUCACUGAAGGAUUUAAGUCAUACCUGUGCUCCCCGCAAUUUACAGCAGCAGUUCAAUAGGAGCCUGCAACAGAAGGAUCAAGCGCUGUCAAGUCAGAGACAGAAGCCUCAGUGACGACAGCCCCAAGCAAUGCGUCGUGCCAGCCUUGUGAGUCAUGCUGUCUGCGCAGGUGUUGGAGGAGUCAGUCUGGGGUGAGGUUUCCUUUUGCAAAAGGACUGCUCCGAAUAGCUGUUGUAGCUGUACAACCUCAUGCGAUGGAGCCAGGACUAUGCCUGCAUCAUCUAACCCCGCUGCAGAGAAACUACACAUUGGCGUCUUUCCUGACCAGUACCUUUCACUGCACACGGUGACGGUAAGCCUAUUAAGGAGACGUGAAGAAACAGAGGAGGGAAGAACAGUGCUUUUAUCUCAAAGCUUAAAACUGAUGUUUUCAAAUCUGCCACCAGUCACAGUCAAACUAAUCCACAGUGUCAUGGUGGGAGUGCUUGACAAAGGGUUACAGGGUGAGAAAGAGCAACAACAAAGAAAACCUCUGAACUGGAACUGCAGCUUUUCAUACCUGUCAAGAUGUGGAUUUUCAGCCUGAGCACACAAGGCUGAGCUCAGGGGACACUUUCAUAUAGAUUUAGGGUUUUAUUGCCUUUCCUCUCCAUUAGCUGUGAUACCCUCUUAUUAUGCUGGAAACCGAAACAUUUUUUCCUCCAGCUGUUGUCCCCUUUCCCAUUCGGCAAAUAUUGAUCUGCCCGUGUCCUCAACGCAGGUUGAGAUCAGAUUGCUCAUCUUGUGCCUGCUCGUGGGUCGAGCACUCGGCAGUGCCGCUUCUCAUGCCAUCAGUGAUUGAAGCAAUGUGCAGGGAGAGGGUUGUUAAUCAAUUUGCACGUGUUUUCUCUCCAUGUUCUCUCUCUCUGCGUGCUGGCAGUGACAGAGCCCUGAACAGGAUGGGUCUGAUUGCACCUGGCGGGCGGAAGGGAAAUGGAAAGGGCAGAAAGAGAAAGAGCAGCCCAGGAUAACAAUAAACUUCUCGCAGCCUUGUUACA
Molecule: long non-coding RNA, 1675 nt
Filed under: Apteryx owenii (little spotted kiwi)
Lineage: Eukaryota; Metazoa; Chordata; Aves; Apterygiformes; Apterygidae
Description: lncRNA (ENSAOWG00000016609.1)
Source: RNAcentral